AUUGAACGCUGGCGGCAGGCCUAACACAUGCAAGUCGAACGCCCCGCAAGGGGAGUGGCAGACGGGUGAGUAACGCGUGGGAAUCUACCGUGCCCUGCGGAAUAGCUCCGGGAAACUGGAAUUAAUACCGCAUACGCCCUACGGGGAAAGGAUUUAUCGGGUAUGAUGAGCCCGCGUUGGAUUAGCUAGUUGGUGGGGUA
This 200-nucleotide ribosomal RNA is filed under the name uncultured bacterium. RNAcentral's name for it is "partial 16S ribosomal RNA". It matches the Rfam family "Bacterial small subunit ribosomal RNA", at positions 30 to 259 of the family's 1533-position model. The record is from RNAcentral.